GACGAACGCUGGCGGCGUGCUUAACACAUGCAAGUCGAACGGAAAGGCCCUGCUUGCAGGGUACUCGAGUGGCGAACGGGUGAGUAACACGUGGGUGAUCUGCCCUUCACUUCGGGAUAAGCCUGGGAAACUGGGUCUAAUACCGGAUAGGAGCCAUUUUUAGUGUGAUGGUUGGAAAGUUUUUUCGGUGUAGGAUGAGCUCGCGGCCUAUCAGCUUGUUGGUGGGGUAAUGGCCUACCAAGGCGGCGACGGGUAGCCGGCCUGAGAGGGUGGACGGCCACAUUGGGACGGAGAUACGGCCCAGACGCCGACGGGAGGCAGCAGUGGGGAAUAUUGCACAAUGGGAGCAAGCCUGAUGCAGCGACGCCGCGUGGGGGAUGACGGCCCUCGGGUUGUAAACUCCUUUCGCUAGGGACGAAGCUUUUUGUGACGGUACCUAGAGAAGAAGCACCGGCUAACUACGUG
This 465-nucleotide ribosomal RNA is filed under the name uncultured bacterium. RNAcentral describes it as "partial 16S ribosomal RNA". It matches the Rfam family "Bacterial small subunit ribosomal RNA", at positions 28 to 507 of the family's 1533-position model. The record is from RNAcentral.